GGUGGGAUAAAUUCGGUGUUGAUAGAAUAGUUGGCCAAGUUUAGAAAGAAUUUUCGCCUUCUCCUUUAUUGACUCCUCCAGUAAACACUCCUUCAGUUACCGCAGCCCCUGCCGUUGCAUCUUCCAGUAAAACAGUCACUAAAACAGCUGAUAAGAUAAAAGAAAAAUCAGUUGUUCCUCCUGAUACUGAUGAAGUUACUAAUGUUUCUAGUUACU
This 216-nucleotide long non-coding RNA is filed under the name Panax ginseng (ginseng). Its description in RNAcentral is "long non-coding RNA (PGIN_LNC019129)". Lineage: Eukaryota; Viridiplantae; Streptophyta; Magnoliopsida; Apiales; Araliaceae. The record is from RNAcentral.